This is a non-coding RNA of Xyrichtys novacula (pearly razorfish), 5744 nucleotides long. Lineage: Eukaryota; Metazoa; Chordata; Actinopteri; Labriformes; Labridae. The record is from the annotation of a GenBank genome assembly.
CGGGUAUCAUUAGGGGUCGGGCGCGGGGCUUUUUAACGAGCCAGCUCACAGCAUCCCUCCAUCCUCGGUGGCGCCUACUGGCAUGAGGCCCUAAGGUUCUGGCUCUCCUAGCAGGGGGUCCUCGCCUGUUCCAUCACCGCCGAACGCAGGGGGGAGCUGAGGGUGGAGAUUUAUUCUCUCUCACUACCUGUGGAGACACAUUUGCACAGAAAUCUGCACAGGCUUAAAAGAAAGAAAAAAAAAAAACCUCACUUUUAUACACACAGCCUCAGGGGGAAAUGUUUACCACAUGCUCUCCCUUUUUUCUCCCGUCAGAGGUAUAAUUGACUCUGCCCGACACAUAAACAUGGCGGUAAUGACCCCGGCCUGCUCUUGAAGUCGGAGGAGAAGCACACAGCUGCGCGAGGUACAGGGAAAAGUCUUAGAGGAGUGGCGCCCGCUGUUUUCCUCUGCCAUCACCGUAAGAGGCUGACCAGGAAACGCUUCCUCACAGGCGUGGCGUGUGGAGGAGAGACUUAUCUUAUUUGAAUGCAUCAGUUAACGGCGGGACGUGGAAGAUUAGAAUCACAAGGCUGAGAGGUCGCCUGAGAUAGUUUCGUCAGCGACGGCGGCAAAAAGAAUAAAAGCAACAGAGGUUCAUCGAAAGCAAAGCGAGAUACAAGGUAGAAAACAAACAGACACGUAAAAGGUGUCAUGCUUGAAUAAAAUGUGACGCUGACUUCAAACAGCAACUCUGAUGAGAAAAAAAUAUCAGGCAAAAUCUUUCUCACUUGUUUCUUCUCUACCUUUGCUGCUCUUGAACCAAAGAAAACAAGAACAAAUGGAUAAAACACAAACUUUAGUCGUGCCCUAGUUCAGGUGGUGCAGCCCUCAAAGGACUGGGUCAGACCAAAGUGAAUUAACCCUAAAACACUAUCGCUGAAAUCGGUAACACCAUCACUAUCGCCGGGUGAUUUUUACCUGAUAUAAUAUACCCAAGAAAAAGUACCUGUCAUCAAAAUAUAUCAAAAUAGGACAAUACAUGAGUUUCUAUUCCAUCCAUUCCUGGGGCAUGUGAGUCUUCCCUGGUGAAGACUCAGGGUCCUUGGCACAAUAACAGCUGCAGGAGAGAGAAUCACCCGGCGAUAGUGUUCCAGGGUUAAGAUGGUCUUCACUUGGAGGAUUGCAUGCUUACAAUUGCGUCAUUUAGUGUUGCCAUUGUAGCUUAACAACAGGUGGCUACCUAGCUAAGCAGCUAGUAUAGCUAGCGUCAUGUAUAGGACCCUAUAUGUACUGUUGAUGAAGUUAGGUGCUGUUCUGAGCAUUAUUUGUGGCUAUAAAGUGGCGUUUUGGUUGAGGUUUGUUUAUGGCUCCUCAGACCGCUGUGAAUUGCUAUCUUGCGGUCCUUACUAAAGUUGGUAUAACUAGAGAAGCAAGCGGUCGGCAACAUUCAUCUGUUGAGGGGGUGUCUAACUCGGUGUUACGGUGUGUUUGACCCUAAAUUAAUUAUAUGCCGGAAUAUCCCUUUAAGACAGUCUUCGCUUGGAGGACUGCAUGUUUACAAAGCUAACCUCAUAACGGCAUCAAGCAGAGUCACCAUUGUAGCUUAACAACAGGUGGCUACCUAGCUAAGCAGCUAGUAUAGCUAGCGUCAUGUGGCCUAAACACCAUUACGAACUUUUUUAAGAUAAUUUCAAAUUUCAACAAAUCUGUUUUUUUCGUCAUUUGUACAACACACUAUCGAGUUAAAACCAAAUAUUAUCACUUGACAGUUUGAGAGUCCACUUUUAUGACUGAAAACUGAUGCUUUAGUUUGUAGAAAUGAAGCUCUGUGGUUUCUUCGUCUGAGUGAUCUGUUUAUUUGUCAUAUUUUCAAAAACACUUAAAGGAAAACCAAAAAAUCUUUUUGUAAGCGCUGCUGCCUGUAUCAUCCUCUCUCCUGUUUUGUGCAGGAACCUUAUCUGUCUCUGGGACCUCAGUCUGAGAUCCAUAACACCCAAAGAACCAGUCGAAAGAGACUAAAUCGCUUUUAACGCUGAGGAACUACUGACUCGGCUGCUCAUUAUCUAUUGGUUGAAACAGAGUGGCUCCUUGUGCGUUAAAUCUCGUCACCUGACAUGAUGUUCGAUAUUAAUAUUGAUCUGAGACGUGGUAACAAGCGUUUUAGGAGUAAGCUGAACUGACUGUAAAGGUUUUAAGAUUUAACCUUCCCAUUUCCCUGACCUAUUAUUUCUCUCUAUACUCUGUUUGUCCAGUGGAACAGAUUUGCAGCCAUCUUUUUUGACCUGUAAAAGACCUCGUAAACUUUAAAAGGUUGCCUCAGUAAGUCAUUGUAACAAAGUGUGCAUUAUCCUCUGCAGUGCUGACACCAGUAGUGCCAAAGCUGGCCAGAUAAAACACUAUAAAAAAGUGACUGCUGGAGAUGAGAGUGGGAGUUCACGUCCGAAUGGAUGUCAGCUUGAUCUACACUGAAUCAACACACAGCCAAGACUGAUAAGGAGGCUUAGCUGGUGAAGAGAUCCUCCUGGUGCCGCUCACACGUGUGCACAGUUUUGUGAAGAUACGGCGGCGGCGGCUAACGUGACGGGCACAGAUACUGACACAUAUAGAGAUAAUGAUACACAGAGACACAUGGAGAUAGAGAAGAGAGGGGGGAUCGUUGGCAAAACAAGCAACAUCAAUCGCUUCGAAAGGUUUCCGUAUCAGUCAGGUUGAUGGAAUCAGUGAGAAAGAAAGAAAGAAAGAACGAAGGGGGAAGAUGUGAGAGGAAGAGAGGGUGGGAUUUAGAUGAAAGAGCCGAAAGAAAGAGGCGAACAGAUCAAACAGCAAAGUUGAGGAAUAAAAGUGAAAAAACAAAACAAAACAGGGGAAGGGGUGCUGUUUAAGGCAAGAACAGCUUUGACACAAACCACAAGAAGCGAACAACAAGUAUUGAAAAAUCAAACACGAUGAGGGAAGGAAGGAAGAUAAGAUGCAAGAGGAGACGAGGAGUGAAAAAGAGAUGCAAUGGGAUUUUUUUUUAGUCAGCAACAAAAAAUUACUGAAUUUGGGAAUCUCUGGGAUAUCUGUGUCCACAAAACCCCCCACCCACCCCAUAAUAUUACGGUCUGGAAUCUGCCUCGACUAUGUUAAAAGAAUAAAAGUUUUGCCAUGGCUUUUUGAAACGCUAUAAAUAUGAGCAAUCCGUCCAGGGUACUUUGCCUUUAAAUUAUGGCCCCGCCCCCUUUUGGGUGUAGCCAAAAAUGACUGGAAGUUUGGGGUGUAGUAUAGUGGUAAACAUGAAGACUAUAAAUGAGAUGCAGAUAGGAAAUUGCUGUACAUAAAAACAAAAUAAAUAAAUAUAAAAAUGUUAAAUAUUUCAAUGAUAUAAACAAUGGAAAAAAGACGCUUUAAAGAUGUUACAAAUGAGAAAAAUAUAGGUAAAUAAAAUAAAUAAAAAUAUAAAUUUUAAAUAUUUCAGUAACAAAAAUGUUAAAAAAAAAACUGACACUAAAAGAUGUUACAAGUGAGAAAAAUAUAGGUAAAUUUUCUUGAACAAAAUAAAUAAAACCAAGACAUUCUAAAAUAUAAUUAACUAUGCAUUUUUUUAAGUUAUUCCUUAAUUUUUACACAUUUUAUCAAACUCAAAACUCUUUUCUACAUUUGUCCUUUCUAAUUUUUAUUUAUUUAUUCGUAUUUGUUCACAGCGGUUUUCUUAUUUUGGCAUGGUGUGUGUAAGGGGGGCUCACUCUUGCCCAGGGCCCCAGAAUAUCUAGAACUGGCCCUGUUCUAAACAUUAUUUUUGCAGUUUUAAAACCUUGAUCACAGAAUUUUGUUCAUUUAAAUUCAUAGUUUGUUGUGUUUUCUUUCAAUCCUAAUUGUGAAUGAUUUAUUGAGGUCAUUUCUGUUAGAAAGGAAAAAACAGAAUAAGUGUUUCUUUUGUACGCAUUGACCCCAACCAGAACAUCUAUAAGCAAAACAUGGAGGAGCUUUAGCACCAAAGAAAACUCUUUCUCUGACUUUUCCCCUCUGACUAUAAAACAUGAAGGCAAACAGAUUCGAUACCCCUCGCUGCUCUGUGUGAUAAAGUAACACACACAGACACACACACACACUAACAAAUGCUCGCUGUGUGUGGCCUGAACCCUCCUAUCUGAGUACCAGUGCUCAUCCUGACACUCCAAAAAGGCUCAGCGUGCGCUCUGUCUGAGAUGUUUAAUUCAUGCAGCCGCUUGCUGGAGCUCAACGUGAACGUGUGACCGAGGAGGUUGCACCCAGAAGAGAAAGAGGCCGUGCAAAUAAAGAAAUAAGAGAUGCUGGUUAAACCGAUGGCGAAAAAAAAAAGCUAAAGUUAUAGAAAUAGCUGAAAACUGGAGGAAUGAAGUGAUAGCAGAGAAUAAGGAGAGAAAACAGAUUAAAUGACAGAGAGCUCAUGUUUGAAGCUCCGAUUCUGGCUCACAAAAUGAGUGAUGGAGAGAAUCAGAGCAGCAAAACUGAAGAAGAGAGAAGAGAGAAAGACUAAAGUGAGAAAACAGGAGCGGGGAAAUCUCACAGACACACACAGAGACUAAAAGAAAACAGUGGAGAUCUUGUCCAGGCAGGAGGUGGGAGCCUGCAGUGCUGAGGUUUGUGUGUUGCAGGUCUCAGGAGAGGCGGCAGGGGACUGAGUGCUAGCGAUUUUCUGUCAUAUCUUACUUUCUCUUCAUCCCUCACACUGGUUAGCCCUCCUCCUCCUCUCCCUCCUCCUCCUCUCCCGUCUUCACUGCACCCUUACUGCUGCAGCAUGUGGAGCAGGAGCACCACAGGGUGUGUAGAGUUGGUGGGCCUCCAUUUUCAAAGCAUUUAAAGAUGAGUUUAAUUGAGGGCUUAAUUCAUGAAUUUUCAGGAUUCAUUUUUUUCUAAUGCAACUUGAUCUUUUCUGAUUCUAACAAAGUUUCCUCAAAGUUUUGUCUUUUUGUUUCUCUACAAAAUAAAAGUCAAUCAACUUUUAAAUGAAGUAUUUUAUGUUUAUUUCCUGGAUUGCCUUGAUUUACUCACCAGAUCAGCGGUGACCCUCUCAUGUCUGUUUGAUAUAAAGCUGGAGCUCAUGUGUUGUUGACUUAGUAUGAAGCCUGGUGACAGGAAGAAAGAGCUGACUUGGCAGAAGGUGAAACAUAAUCUGCAGGUCAGCACCGUCUAAUCGAACUUAGUAGAGUGGUUUAUCAUUUUAUUGUCCAAGCCGCUGAGAGGAGUUUUUCACCAAAGAAGACUGAUAUCGGUUAUGAUGCUUCAACACGACCUCCGAAGAAAAUCAGCAUCUAGAUGGAUUAUUUCUAUGUCUUCAGCAUUCACGCUAUUCAUCUUCUGGCUCAAACCUGAGCAUGCAGACACUGGAGUAUGUGCAGAACGGACUCUCUUCUAUUGCUACACGUGGUUUCUGCAAAGUUUGCAUCCAUCUAUAGGGGAAUGUUGCAUUGGAAAUGAGAAGUUUCAAUUAUAUAUUUGCAAAUCUGAAAGUGAAAUUUAGCCUUUUUUGGUUAUGAAAGAAAGAAAGUGUAAGUCACUGAAAUGAUGCAGAGACAAAAACUCAAUGGAAACAUACCUUUUCAGAAAAUUAAGUAAAAUGUUAAAGGGAUAUUCCGGCGUAAAAUUAAGUUAGGGUCAAACACACCGCAACACCCUUUUGAGAGAUGAAUGUUGCCGACCGCUUGCUUCUCUAGUUAAACCAACUUUAGUAACGACCGCACGAUAGCAAUACACAGCGGUCUGAGGAGCCAUAAACAAACCUCAACCAAAACACCACUCUA